RNAcentral lists this transfer RNA (74 nucleotides) under Pectobacterium phage My1. It matches the Rfam family "tRNA". Rfam says of the family: Transfer RNA (tRNA) molecules are approximately 80 nucleotides in length. Their secondary structure includes four short double-helical elements and three loops (D, anti-codon, and T loops). Further hydrogen bonds mediate the characteristic L-shaped molecular structure. tRNAs have two regions of fundamental functional importance: the anti-codon, which is responsible for specific mRNA codon recognition, and the 3' end, to which the tRNAs corresponding amino acid is attached (by aminoacyl-tRNA synthetases). tRNAs cope with the degeneracy of the genetic code in two manners: having more than one tRNA (with a specific anti-codon) for a particular amino acid; and 'wobble' base-pairing, i.e. permitting non-standard base-pairing at the 3rd anti-codon position. The record is from Rfam by way of RNAcentral. Lineage: Duplodnaviria; Heunggongvirae; Uroviricota; Caudoviricetes; Demerecviridae.
GCGCUCUUAGCUCAAUUGGACAGAGCAACGUAGUUCUAAUUCGUAGGUUACAGGUUCGAAUCCUGUAGGGCGUA